This 226-nucleotide small RNA is filed under the name Oryza sativa Japonica Group (Japanese rice). RNAcentral describes it as "Os02g0697400". Lineage: Eukaryota; Viridiplantae; Streptophyta; Magnoliopsida; Poales; Poaceae. The record is from RNAcentral.
GAGAAAAAAAAGUUUAUUCUUUUUGCUAGCCAGUAUACUGCUGAAUUUGAUGCCAGGCGCACAUUUGCGAAAGAAACUGCGGCAAACUUGGCAACUUUUUAGUAUAUGAUCAAAACAAACGUGUACAAUGUAGCAUUUGUACGUGUUGUUGCCAGUUGGGGAAUACGACUACCGUGUAUUGGAUUCAUGAUUUACAUAUAUCAGUAUUGGUUCAUCAUUUGUCAAC